Non-coding RNA from Schizosaccharomyces pombe (fission yeast), 853 nucleotides. The record is from the annotation of a GenBank genome assembly. Lineage: Eukaryota; Fungi; Ascomycota; Schizosaccharomycetes; Schizosaccharomycetales; Schizosaccharomycetaceae.
UUGAAUCAAUUCAAUGUCAUCAACGUUUGCUCCAACAAGCAAAAGAAGGGAUCCUGGAACUGCAAAAUAUGAGAGUACAUUUGCUGCAAUUUGUAGCAAUGACAAACCUGGUGCAAUUACACACAGACCAUCCUCUUCAAUAAGUUCGUUAAAAACCUGCUGCUGGUAAGCAAGAGGCAAAUGAACCUUUGUUUCCAUAUUUAAUGGUGGUGUUAUUCGUAGAGAUUUUCCAAUUUGCAAUUUUGAUUUCUGAAAGCUGUUAAAUACUUUGAUGCGAAAAUUUUCCAAUUUGGAUGGAAUAAUCAACUCUAUUUCUAUUUCCGUUCACAAAUGUGUUAAAUAAAAAACAGUAGCAUGAGAUAGACUCCUUCUUAGGAAUUUAGGCGGAUCGUGAAGUUAAGAGACUCUCAAGGAUGAUGAAAGGAAGAAUCUGUACAAAACAAAAAUCCUAUAUAAGACAAUGAAUUUAAAAAUGAUUACCAACUGAUAAAAGUAUCCAAGGAGAACCAAAUACAAAUAUUUAACCUAAAGAUGAAAGAGUGAAUGGAAUACAGCAAUCAGUAAAAAUGAGCAACCAACUAUACAUACCAACUAGAGGUUAAACUAGUUUCAAUAUAUUGGGUAAAAUAAAUUACUUAAUAUACUCUUUAACCAUUGCUCAGUUUCGGGCAUAGUUCAUGCCUUAGCUUAAUUCUCCUUAAUUAGAUACUCUACAUUCAAUCUUUCCAUGUAUUCACGUUGGGGUAUCCCAUCGCUUGUAUUUGGACAACCAUAUUUUUUAAAUUUUCUUUCAAAAUGUAAGAUUUAUUUGCUGUCGGUUUCUAACUUCAUUACAUGCGUAUAACCAUUGCUC